Molecule: long non-coding RNA, 6562 nt
Filed under: Manihot esculenta (cassava)
Lineage: Eukaryota; Viridiplantae; Streptophyta; Magnoliopsida; Malpighiales; Euphorbiaceae
Description: long non-coding RNA (MESC_LNC010973)
Source: RNAcentral
UAGAAAAAUAAGUUAACCCGUGACACUGGACCCAAAAAUGAGAGCCUCAUCCCUCUCAACCAUAGUCCAACACGGGCCUCGAGGGCGACCUCCUCGUUCAUUCUACGUUCGCGUGAAAACCUCCUUCCCCCUUCAUCAGUCGACGCCCCCAACAACAGCCAUGACAAUCCCAUCACUGCCAUUUUCUCCCAAACCCAUUUCCACCAUUCCCACUGACCAGUACCGAGAUCGACACCCUACAUUCGCUCCCUAAGACCCAGCUAGCUCGACCCUUGAACCAGAACCCACGAACCCAUCGCACAAGGCAACUCAGCCACGCUUCACCUCUCCUAGCUCGCACAACUCCAUCGAACGAGCUCACCAUCCCCUUCACCAAAUCGAUUUCCCUUUCCUAUUUCUCGUCUCAAACCCAUCAAAUCUCACCCCAACACCCAAGACCCUCGUUCUCCCACCACCUCCAUCGAAUCACUCACAGCUCCUAAAACCAGUUGCUCCCUUCGAUUUCAUGUCCCAAUAAUCGGUGGUCACCAGUGAUUUCAGCUGAUACCGAACAUUACCAGCGAAUCUACCCACCAGCUCACGUCACUGUAGUCCCUUUCGGUCUGUUCUUAGCCGCGCACCCAUUUCAGUGGGUCGUUGUCUCGACAACUGGUUGCUCAGCCGCACUCGACCAUACCUCCAUCGCCCCAGAUAUGCGUCACAGCAACCCAGCUGUUCGCCCAAGAAGACCUAGCCCCAUUUUCAAACUCUGCUUCAUGGGGGUAUGCUCCAGAUUUUCUACACUUUGUUUAUUAUUAUGUUUUAUUAUGGCUUUUAGAAACUGAGUUCUUGAUAUCGAUUAACCUGCUUGUUUUUAUUUUUUUUUCUUCCCUCUAUUAUUUAAUGUCGAUUUUGGGCAAAUCCUAUUGACAGUGGCAAAUGGUUGAUUAUUGAUUGUUGAAUGUUCAUUAACAAUCCGUAGGGCAGUUUUGUGAGACUGCCCUACUACUCUUCCCUCUAUCAGUUUGUUUGCAGUGGCGAGAUGCAGAUUUCUGUUUAUGUUUGAGUGUUGUUUGGAACUGUGAUUAUUGAUUUCAAUAGAUUUGGAUUUUGGUUGCUGUUUUUCAUCAUUAGGGUGACUUGGUGUAUGCACCGAUUGGUUCCCUGGUUAGAAUAGGAGCAUAGGUGUAUAGGGCAUCGUUUAGUUUGAAAAAGUAAAUCCGACUAAGAGAAAGUUUGAAAAAUAUUGAAAUCCAAACAAAUAAAAUUUUAAUAUUUUUUAGAAAUUUUAAGUCCUCAGAUUAAUUUACUCUAACUAAAUAAAACCUAAAUUUUCUUUUCUUUUCUUUUCCUAGAUAUUUUCCUAUUUUGCAGUUUUGAGAUUUAAACUUAUAUGAGUAUAUAUGUUUUUUUUUAAAAAAAAAAGAACUUAUGCAACUUGUCACUUAGUUUUUACCAUAAAGUGGAAAAAUGAGCAAAAAUAAAGUAUAAGGGUUAAAAUAAAUGGCUGCAAUGUCUGUGUAGGCCAGGAUGUUUUAUUUUAUUUUUUUUCUAAAUAAUCACUAAGAGAUAUAGGAUAUAAUUACGAUUAAGAUUUCUCUAUUGCUUCGAUAGAGCAAGAUGAGCACCUUUCUCUUCAUUCUUUUUCUAAUAAUACGGCUAUGUUUAGGUUUCCUCUCUCCGGAAACAUUUUCAAGAUUAAUUUUGAUACUACGACUGAUUAUAAUAGAUCCAGAGGUUCUUCCGCUGUUCUUACUAGAGAUUCAAGUGAGAAAUCAUGGUUUCGGCAUUAUAAGAAUUUUGAAAAUAUUUUUGAUCCACUUAGCUUAGAAUGUCUUUACUUAUCGAGAAGUUCUUUAUAGCACAUAAUCACAAUUUAGAGAUAUUGUGGUAGAAGAUGAUUCCUUGAUGGUGAGUCAACUUACUACUAGUCACAUUAUUCCCCUUAUUAUUCAUGGGUGGAUCAAGGAUAUUUAAGAACUUUCUAAACUUUUCAAAUCGAUCUCCUUCCUUCACAUUUGUAGUAAUAAGACGGCACAUUCUUUUAUCUCCAAAGUAUUUUAAGACCUCAAUUUCCUUUAUAAUCAAUAUUGUCAAUUGUGCUUUAUUUUUGAUAAUUUGCGUUCUUAAAUAUAUCAGUUAUUUUCUCUAAAAAAGCAUAGAAAAUCUCUGUAGAAUUUUUUUAUAGAUGUAAUAAAAGUGCACUUGUUAAUUGAAAUAAAAAUAUAGAAUUUUUGAUGUUUGAAAAAUAAUCUCUUUAAAUCAUUUUAACUCUUUUAAAAAUUUUAAAUAAAGUAAAACAAAAAAUAAAAAUUUUAGUUUGAAGGAGUGUUCUUAAAAAAAUUUUAAAUUUUUUGAAUAAAAAAAUGAAAAUAUAAUAAUCAUUGGUUUAAAAGAGAGUCUCCUUAAACCAUUUUAGUCAUUUUAAAUAAUUUAAAUAGUAAAAUUUUAAAUUAAAAGUUUUUACUUGAUGCGGAGCAUUUUGAACUUAUUUAAAUAUUUUAAUAAUAAAAUUUAAAAUAUAAAAUUUUAGUUUAAAAGAGUCUUCUUUAAACCAUCUUAAAAAAUAAUAAAAAAAUUUAAAUAUUUUGAUUUGAAGGUUUAAUUUUUUUACAAAAUUAUUAAAAUAUACAAUUUAAAUUGGUUCAGAGGAGAGUUUUCCUUAAACCAUUUAAAAUUUUAAUAAUAAAAAUUGAAAGUAUAAAAGUGUUGGUUUGAAGGAGAGUCUCCUUAAACAUUUAAAAUUUUAAUAAUAAAAAAUUAAAGUAUAAAUAUUUUAGUUUGAAGGAGAAUUCACCUUGAACCACUUUAAAAGUUGAUAAUAAAAAUAAAAUCUUAAAAUAUAAAUAUUUUCAUGAUGUGUUCGAAAAUGAGUUAAAACAUAUAAUUAGUCAAUAUGCAAAAAGAGAAAAAGUGAGAUAGUUGGUAUCUGUGAACAGCCACUCCGACGUUUAAGCCAGUAAUUUGCUAGAAAUGACGAGUAUAAUAAAUAUAUUGAGCUUAGAAUGAAUAUGUAAAAAUGCGUAUUUUGAAUUCUGUAUAUGCUUUGCUUUUAUAUCGUAAGAAAUUAUAGUUAGCUAGCGAAUUUCUUAGAAACUCGACUGGUACCGGUUAGUAAAUAAGGGAUCAUGUGAUUAUAGGCGUAAAGAGUAUCUGUUGGAUUAUAUCCAUUAACGGUAAAUUUAUACCAUGAAAGACUUAACUAGCUUAGGAGGGAGAGAGCCUCCGUUUCGAGUAUCGACCAUCGUGAUAUUCGAGUCUUCUUUCUUAUAGGUGAGACUUUCGCAACCGCGUAUCAUAGCUUAUUAAGGUAUUCCCACGUAGCUCUGUCAUAUAGUGAUAGUUCAUAACAUACUUUAAGCGAUUAUUAUAUUAUAUUAGAGGUUCUCUUACUGGUCUUCAACUCUUCAUAUUUGGAGAUUACAGUUGUUAUGAUGACACGUAGCACGUACGAAUGGGCUUUCCAUACCCAUGUCCCUUCCAUGUUUCUUAACAUAAAUGCUGAUUGUCUUGCUUCUCGAGCUGCAUUUAAACUUGCCAUCGAAACUAUAAUAUAAAAACCCUCCUUUCUCCUCUGAUUACGCUUUUGCUCUCAACUGCUCUCUACUCAUUAGAAAAGACUCGACUACUCAGUUUCUUACUCUCACAUUUUCUAAAGGUAAUUCUCAUUUCUCUCAUUUUCAAUAUUUUCCAAGAUGAAUAUUUCUUCAUCUUCUUCGUCAUCUUCUCCUUGCAGAAGUUCCACUUCAAGCUCUUUUUUCGACAGCCCCAUCCGUACAUGUACCUGCUCCUAUUAUUUCGUUGAGAGCGGUUCAUGAAAACGAUAGUCUCCUAGUGAACGAUAUUCCGUCCAUGUUGACUGAGAAAGAUGUGGACUAUCUGUCUCACCACUAUUAUAUCUCUCGAGAUCUCUUUCAGGUUUAUGCUCCAAACCGAAUGUUUGCACGGACGACCAAAUCUCAGCUGAGGAUACAAUUAUGGUAUAUGAAGAACAACUAAAAGUGGGUCUUUGGUUCCCUAUAGACCCGUUCUCCGUUAAAAUCUUCUGAUUCCAUAAGCUUGCAGUCUCCCAACUGCAUCCAAACAGCUAGAGGUGUAAUACCCGGCUAGACUCCGGUAUCGAAAUUCCUACCGUCCGGUGGAAUCUCGGAUGUUGGAGACCUCUAGAAGGGGUAAAACCAUGUUCUCAUAAAAUGUUUUAAUGUGUUUUAUGGUUUUAAGUAAAAAGGAAAUGAGUUUUUGCAUGAAAAGAACCUUGGAGGAAAACUCAGGUUCGGCCGCCGAAACUCAAGUUCCGCCGCCGAACAUGCAGGCAUUUCGGGUGUGCCUUAGGCCCCCGAAGGCAUAAGUGAGGAAGUCCAGGUUCGGCCGCCGAACCUCAAGUUCGGCCGCCGAACAUGGCAUGCAUGCGGAGGCACGUUCGGCCCCCGAAUGUGGCCUGGCCAGCCACUAUAAAAGGGUCCCUUAGCCAAAAACGGGCGAGCUUUUUCCCCAUUUUCGGCCAAGGUGAGUUCUCUGCCGUCCCUCACCAAUCUUUGAUGUUUUUCCUCUAGAUCUUUCAAGAUUUUCAUUUGUUUUAACUUUGUUUUGAAGAUUUGAGCUUUUGAGCAAAGUUUUGGAGUUUGGAGGUUCAAGAACCCAAUCUCUCCCAACUUCGAGUUUAGGUCGUCUCUCUCUCGAUCUUCAAGAGGUAAGAGUCGAUCUUAAGCUCAUUGCAUGUUUUAAGUAAGCUUUAAGUAGAUCUAUGGGUUAGAAUGCAUGUUUAGGUUAUGGUUAUGUUUUUGGAGUUUAUGGGUUUUAUGUGUGUUCAUGAACAAUGUGAGUUGCUUGAUGUGUUGUAGAUGGGGUUUAUGAUGGUUUGAGACCCCUAGGAACAUGUAUGGUUGUGUAUGUGUGUUGUAGAAUAGGUUUGAUGCAUGUUUGGAAGGUUUGGAGGCGAAAUGUGCAAAAGGAGCCAAGUUUCUGCCCUUUGGCAGAAACCAGGUUCGACAGCCGAAGGACUUUCGGCCGCCGAACACGGCUGGGGAGGCAAGCCUUUCGGCUGCCGAAGCCUGCACCCGAAAGGAGACUUUCGUCUCUGUCUGGCAGUUUCGGCCGCCGAAAGUGCCGCCGAACAUGCAUGAGUUUCGUCUCUGUCUGGGAGUUUCGGCCGCUGAAGGUGCCGCCAAACCUACCUGACUUUCGGCUCUGGAGGGACUUUCGACCGCCGAACCUGCCGCCGAAAGUGCCCUGUCCAGGCCUCCUUUGCAUGUUUUUCUAUGGUUGUUUCAUGAUGUUUUAGGGGGUUUUUGGGGAGUAGCUUAUAGUUAUGUUCAGGUGUGUUUGGUCCCUCAUUUGAGUCCACCUGUAUAGGUUCGGACCCGAGGAACCGAGGACUCCAGCAGUGAGUUCAGCUGCUUCGGUGUUGUCAGAGUCAGCCAGAGGUGAGUGGAACUAAACUUAAUCUUUUAAAUUGAGAAAUUAAAUGUUUUAUCAUGUUUCAUGCAUCAUGAUUAUGCAAUAGGAUGAUUGCAUUAGUUUUCACGAAUAUGCCGCAUUGCAUCGAUUGUUGUUGAUGUGGGUGAAUAUUGGAUGACCCAAUUAGUCCAUGACAGGAAGACCAGGACCCCAUUCUAUGGCCUGGCACAGAGUAAGGAAAGACCAGGACUUUAUUCUAUGGCCUGGCACGGUUAUGGGACUCGAAGACCAGGAGCCUAGAGGAGGCCCUGGGGUAAUGGUAAGUAAUGUAUGUUAUGACAGGAAGACCAGGACCCCAUGCUACGGCCUGGCACAGAGUUUGCUUGGACUAAUUGGUGACAAGUUCACCCAACCCUUAUGUGAAUUGUCUGUGUUAUGAUGCAUUUCAUCGAGCAUAGUGUUGAUAUGUUUUAUAGUUCUGCUCACUGGGCUUUUAACUCACCCCUCUCCCUUUACCCCCAGGCUUGCAGGUGCAGGAUAUAGCAGGAGUCCGGAUAGAGUAAUGAAGUCUUGGUUAUGUAAUAGUUAGCGUGGACAUGAUGAAUGAUUAUGAUGUAAUGUAAAAGUACAGUUAGAUAUGUAAUGAGAUGAUGUUUAUGGAUGUUAGAAGUGUGCUUGACCAUAGAUUAUUGUUAUCCCUUUUAUUACAUGAUCUUAGAGACUUUUAUGAUGUUUAUGUAAACCAACUCAACAUAUGUUAUGUCACCCAUUGGGGGCACUGAUGAGAUCCCACAGAGGGAUCAAUGUUAUGUUAAUGUAUAUGCACAGGUUGAGUUUGGUUGAUGUAUUUGGAAAGAAAAGUUUUAAUUUUUUUUGUAUGUUGUUGAUCAUGUAUGGGAUUAUACAGGUUUACAGGCUAUAUGUCAGGCUUGCUACGGGUCCCGGCGGCCUUAAGCCGAUCUGGAUCCUAGCGCCGGUAGCGGUCCGAUUUCCGGAUCGUUACAAGAGGAUUCUGGUGGCUUUUUGCUUCUUCUGCUUCAAUAAGAACAUCAAGCCGAGUGUUGCACUUUUCUCCCAACUGUACUAACUGGGUACCUAGAGAAACAAAGAAUUUUGGUUCUUCAACAGAAAGAAGCGUCAGACUCUUUUUUACUGAAUAACCUUCUCUUUGAAGCACUAAAAAAAU